ACCAUCAAUUUGAUUAUUAAAACAUUGCUCUCUAAUCUCUUUUUAUAUUUUAGCUCUAUAGUUCUCUAUCCUCUUACCCCCAAAGCUAAUUUUCAACUAUUUUCGUCAAGGCUACCUAUUCUUUUUUUUUUUUCGCUCAGUCAACAAUUACAAUUUUCAGCAUUUGCAAAAAAUGCUAACAUACUACUAGAGCAAUUUUAACCCCAACACUAGAGACCCUCACCCCAUUACAAAAACUAGAGCAAUUUUAACAUACUAUUUUCGUCUAAGGCUACCUAUU
RNAcentral lists this long non-coding RNA (280 nucleotides) under Gossypium barbadense (sea-island cotton). RNAcentral describes it as "long non-coding RNA (GBAR_LNC010884)". The record is from RNAcentral. Lineage: Eukaryota; Viridiplantae; Streptophyta; Magnoliopsida; Malvales; Malvaceae.